UACGUAGGUGGCGAGCGUUAUCCGGAAUGAUUGGGCGUAAAGGGUGCGCAGGCGGUCCUGCAAGUCUGGAGUGAAACGUAUGAGCUCAACUCAUGCAUGGCUCUGGAAACUGCCCGGCUGGAGUGCGGGAGAGGUAAGCGGAAUUCCUAGUGUAGCGGUGAAAUGCGUAGAUAUUAGGAGGAACACCAGCGGCGAAGGCGGCUUACUGGACCGUGACUGACGUUGAGGCUCGAAAGCGUGGGUAGCAAACAGG
This 253-nucleotide ribosomal RNA is filed under the name uncultured Eubacteriales bacterium. Its description in RNAcentral is "uncultured Clostridiales bacterium partial 16S ribosomal RNA". It matches the Rfam family "Bacterial small subunit ribosomal RNA", at positions 524 to 776 of the family's 1533-position model. The record is from RNAcentral. Lineage: Bacteria; Bacillati; Bacillota; Clostridia; Eubacteriales.